Nylanderia fulva is the source of this 743-nucleotide non-coding RNA. NCBI's taxonomy places the organism in Eukaryota, Metazoa, Arthropoda, Insecta, Hymenoptera, Formicidae. The record is from RefSeq and is a predicted model, not a curated record.
AUUCUCACAGUACUUUUAUUGUCGUCGCUCGUUGUCAUAAAACGUUUGUUAAUCUCUACAAUUCAUUUGAAUUUGUAGACAGUGAAGUUAGUUAAGCGACGGCGAAACUAUCAAUUAAAAAAAGUAAACGUACGUUUGCGAGAAAGAACUAUAUUUUUCUAUUUAUAUUUGCUAUACGUUUAUUAUUCUAGCAAGAGAAAUAAUUCGUUAUUAAUUUUAACAUCUCAAAUCAACUGUGAAAGUUUAAAAGAGAGAGUUUAACAUCCAAUUACAUUUAAAAAAUUUUAUAAUGAAAUUUGAAAAGAUUGUAAAUGAUGAAGUACUGGAAAAAACCACAUAAGAUUGAAUGGCAAAUUAUUUGGGCAAAUGUUAUUAUUGCCAUAUAUAUUUAUUUUACUUUAUGGUUUAAUAGGAUAAAGAUGGUUGAAUAUAUUCCAUAUAUUUAACCUUCUUUUUUCCUAUUAAACUGUGGACUUUCAUCUGGUUCUUCGCUGUUGGUAUAUUUUCAAAUAUAGGAUCCACUGCUGGCGUUCAUCGAUUAUGGUCUCAUCGGUUUUAUAAGGCAAAGUGGCCUUAUUCUUAUGAUUUUCCAGACUAUUUCUUAUCAACGCAAUAAACAAUCUAUGGAGGUUGUAGGAAGAGUACGAACUCGGUCUCUGAAUUCGGACAGAAAAACUCUAAAAACUUAUCUGUAAAAAAAUAAAAAAGGUGCCUAGUAUGGGCUUACCAGUAGUGAAAAUUUA